CGGCAGCCCGAGUGGUGAUCACUAUUAUUGGGCCUAAAGCAUCCGUAGCCGGCGCUGUAAGUUUUCGGUUAAAUCUGUACGCUCAACGUACAGGCUGCCGGGAAUACUGCAGCGCUAGGGAGUGGGAGAGGUAGACGGUACUCGGUAGGAAGGGGUAAAAUCCUUUGAUCUAUUGAUGACCACCUGUGGCGAAGGCGGUCUACCAGAACACGUCCGACGGUGAGGGAUGAAAGCUGGGGGAGCAAACCGGAUUAGAGACCCGAGUAGUCC
RNAcentral lists this ribosomal RNA (270 nucleotides) under uncultured archaeon. RNAcentral describes it as "partial 16S ribosomal RNA". It matches the Rfam family "Archaeal small subunit ribosomal RNA", at positions 477 to 747 of the family's 1478-position model. The record is from RNAcentral.